RNAcentral lists this ribosomal RNA (429 nucleotides) under Chloroflexota bacterium. RNAcentral describes it as "Chloroflexi bacterium partial 16S ribosomal RNA". It matches the Rfam family "Bacterial small subunit ribosomal RNA", at positions 355 to 776 of the family's 1533-position model. The record is from RNAcentral. Lineage: Bacteria; Bacillati; Chloroflexota.
UGGGGAAUAUUGCACAAUGGGCGCAAGCCUGAUGCAGCCAUGCCGCGUGUAUGAAGAAGGCCUUCGGGUUGUAAAGUACUUUCAGCGGGGAGGAAGGGAGUAAAGUUAAUACCUUUGCUCAUUGACGUUACCUGCAGAAGAAGCACCGGCUAACUCCGUGCCAGCAGCCGCGGUAAUACGGAGGGUGCAAGCGUUAAUCGAAAUUACUGGGCGUAAAGCGCACGCAGGCGGUUUGUUAAGUCAGAUGUGAAAUCCCCGGGCUCAACCUGGGAACUGCAUCUGAUACUGACAAGCUUGCGUCUCGUAGAGGGGGGUAGAAUUCCAGGUGUAGCGGUGAAAUGCGUAGAGAUCUGGAGGAAUACCGGUGGCGAAGGCGGCCCCCUGGACGAAGACUGACGCUCAGGUGCGAAAGCGUGGGGAGCAAACAGG